GCAAGAUGACAAGCUCGCUAAUAAGCUCUGUUGGGGAGGUCUCAGCCCAGGCCAGAGCUGUGAAGUGAGAAAUAAGUCCAGUUUAAAUAGUGCUGCUGGGAUGGACUUUUGUGGCCAGGGAAGGGGUACCCAGGAGCCAGUGUGGCCACUGACCCAGCCUCAUCAAUGGCCCUAGGAUCCAGAAUGCCACAAACAAUGGAGCAAGAAUCAGAUCUGUGUGUCUGGGCUGGAAUGCAAUGGUGUGAUCUUGGCUCACUGCGACCUCCACCUCCUGGGUUCAAGCGAUUCUCCUGCUUCUGCCUCCCGAGUAGCUGGGAUUACAGACAAAGAAUUCAAGACUAAACUGGGCAUGGUGACACGCACCUGUAGUCUCAGCUACUUGGGAGGCUGAGGCAGGAGAAUCACAUGAACCUGGCAGGCGGAGGUUGCAGUGAGCCGAGAUUGUGCCACUGCACUCCAGCCUGGCCACAGAGCGAGACUCCGUCUCAAAAAAAAAAAAAAAAGAAAAAAAGAAAAAAGAAGAAGUCAAGACUAAGAAGAGUGAAGUAUGAAGUAAUUCACCCACAGACACCCAGCUAGUGAGUGGCAGACCUGGAAGACAAACUAGUUCUGUUUGGCAUCAGAAUCUAUGCUGUCAGCCACCUCACCACAUUCAUGUGACAUCCAACAAAGUGGUGCCUUCACCUGCUACUAAGUCUUGCUAGGGCUAGUUCCAGAGCCAAGACUAUGAAGUGGACAAUGAUCUAUGAAGCGCUAAGUGAACAGAUGUCAUGUAAAUAGCUUGGAUCUCUACGUGCAUGUGUGCAUUGUAUAUGUUUACCAAAGACCUUGUUACAGUGUUUUUAGGCAUGGCUCACUUUAUAAAGGUCAUCACAGUUGGCCAAGCUAUCUGGUAUUUAUUACUCAUUUGAUACUCACACCUGCUCAAUGAUGCUGGUAUCAUUACUCUCCAUAAUGAUUUUCCUAUCAUUUUACAGAUGGGGUUCAGAAAGAUCAGGUGGUAGAUCCAUAGUCACACUCUAGUUAAUUGAUAGGACUGAGAAUUCAAUGCAUGCCCACUGCCUUCUCUUACAAGUCUUGGGGUAUUUGAGUGUAAUUCAAUAAUGACAACCCCUUCACUGUCCAAAAGGGGUGAAUGAAACAUCAAGCUGUCACAAAGGCUAGGUUGGAGGGCAUGGCUUAUAUCCUUGGGUAAGUAGGCUUACUAAACUUAAACCCUAAAGUUGAACUGACUUAACUACCCCGUCCCAGCAGCUGGAGUGGGACAGGACACUGGGUCUAUAUGGAGAGGGGUCUGCCCAGAUUAGCUUUAGGACGUGGAGAAGCAGAGAACUCAUGUUCCUACAAACAGGUUCACUCUCAAGAUAAAGACAAGGAACCAAACUCAGCCUGCCUGCUUCAUUUUUUCAUAUUUGCCAAUCAGAUAAGUCACUUCCGCCCCCAGAGAGAUUUAAUAAAGGAGCAGAGAAAGACUUCUAAUAAAAUUCCCUCCAUAUGGAAGGAAAAGGAGACAUCGGGAGUUACGUUAAUCAUGCUCAUUUCUUAACAGUGCAAAUAUCAAGAGUUAGAAAUUAGAGUUCCUGGCUGGGUGCGGUGCCUCACUCCUGUAAUCCUAGCACUUUGGAAGGCCAAGGCAGGUGGAUUGCCGGAGCUCAGGAGUUCGAGACCAGCCUGGGCAACACGGUGAAACCUUGUCUCUACUAAAAUACAAAAAAAUAGCCAGGCGUGGCAGCGUGCACCUGUAAUCCCAGCUACUCAGGAGGCUAAGGCAGGAGAAUUGCUUGAACAAGGGAGCCAGAGGUUGCAGUGAGCUGAGAUUGCACCACUGCACUCCAGCCUGGGUGACAGAGCGAGACUC
RNAcentral lists this long non-coding RNA (1858 nucleotides) under Homo sapiens (human). RNAcentral's name for it is "non-protein coding lnc-TCL1B-2:4". The record is from RNAcentral. Lineage: Eukaryota; Metazoa; Chordata; Mammalia; Primates; Hominidae.